AUUGAACGCUGGCGGCAGGCUUAACACAUGCAAGUCGAGCGGAGCGAGGGUGCUUGCACCUUGGCUUAGCGGCGGACGGGUGAGUAAUGCUUAGGAAUCUGCCUAUUAGUGGGGGACAACAUUCCGAAAGGAAUGCUAAUACCGCAUACGCCCUACGGGGGAAAGCAGGGGAUCUUCGGACCUUGCGCUAAUAGAUGAGCCUAAGUCGGAUUAGCUAGUUGGUGGGGUAAAGGCCUACCAAGGCGACGAUCUGUAGCGGGUCUGAGAGGAUGAUCCGCCACACUGGGACUGAGACACGGCCCAGACGCCUACGGGAGGCAGCAGUGGGGAAUAUUGGACAAUGGGCGGAAACCUGAUCCAGCCAUGCCGCGUGUGUGAAGAAGGCCUUUUGGUUGUAAAGCACUUUAAGCGAGGAGGAGGCUACCUAGAUUAACACUCUGGGAUAGUGGACGUUACUCGCAGAAUAAGCACCGGCUAACUCUGUGCCAGCCGCCGCCGUAA
RNAcentral lists this ribosomal RNA (501 nucleotides) under uncultured bacterium. RNAcentral describes it as "partial 16S ribosomal RNA". It matches the Rfam family "Bacterial small subunit ribosomal RNA", at positions 30 to 523 of the family's 1533-position model. The record is from RNAcentral.